GUCCUGGCCGUAAACGAUGUCCACUAGAUCGUAGUGCCUCUGACGGUAUUACGGUCGAAGCCAAAGUGCUAAGUGGACCGCCUGGGAAGUACGGUCGCAAGGCUAAAACUCAAAGAAAUUGACGGGGGCUCACACAAGCGGUGGAGCAUGUGGUUCAAUUCGAAGCAACGCGCAGAACCUUACCUGGGUUUGACUCGCUAGGAUUAUCCCGAUGAAAGUCGGGUAGGCCCCGCAAGGGGUACAACUAGUACAGGUGCUGCAUGGCUGUCGU
RNAcentral lists this ribosomal RNA (271 nucleotides) under uncultured bacterium. RNAcentral describes it as "partial 16S ribosomal RNA". It matches the Rfam family "Bacterial small subunit ribosomal RNA", at positions 793 to 1055 of the family's 1533-position model. The record is from RNAcentral.